AUGUUUCUCCUCCUCAUCCUCCUCUUCUUCCUCAUCCUCGUCUUCCUCCUCAUGUUUCUCCUCCUCAUCCUCCUCUUCUUCCUCCUUAUCUUCCUCAUCCUCUUCCUCCUCCUUAUGUUUCUCCUCUUCUUCAUCCUCCUCGUCAUCCUCUUCCUUCUCCUUAUCUUCCUCAUCCUCGUCUUCCCCUUCCUCCUCCUCUUCCUCCUCAUGUUUCUCCUCCUCUUCAUCUUCAUCCUCCUCUUCCUCCUCUUCCUCCUCCUCAUCUUCCUCAUCCUCGUCUUCCUCUUCCUCCUCAUGUUUCUCCUCCUCGUCUUCCUCUUCCUCCUCAUCCUCCUCUUCCUCCUCCUCAUCUUCCUCAUCCUCUUCCUCCUCUUCAUCUUCCUCCUCCUCUUCCUCCUCAUGUUUCUCCUCCUCUUCCUCCUCUUCCUCCUCUUUAGCCUCAUCCUCCUCCUCUUCAUCCUCCUCUUCCUCCUCCUUAUCUUCCUCAUCCUCCUCUUCCUAUUCUUCCUCUUCCUCCUCAUGUUUCUCCUCUUCCUCCUCCUCUUCCUCCUCCUCCUCCUCUUCCUCCUCCUCUUCCUCCUCCUCUUCCUCCUCCUCAUCUUCCUCCUCUUCCUCCUCCUCAUCUUCCUCAUCCUCUUCUUCCCUCCAGAACGCCAAAACAAGUUCCAGUUCCACGAUGACAUCACUUCCCCAACCACCUCCCCCUCUUCACCCUCAUCCUCCUGCUCCUCCUCCCCCCGGAGCUCCUCCACCUCCUCAUCCCCCGACAGCAGACGGGCUCGUCUGUCUCUGUCCAGCCCCGAGCUUCUGACAGAACUGAAAGAGUCCAGGACACGCCCCCUCCGACAUGUCCCCGCCCACACAGGCAUGACCGUCGUGUUCUCUGGACGAGGACGUGGAGCUGCAGGACAGGUGUCAAACUCCGCCCCCGCCGCCAAACCGGCCAAUCAGAGGAUCAGUCACUGA
RNAcentral lists this long non-coding RNA (966 nucleotides) under Oryzias javanicus (javanese ricefish). Its description in RNAcentral is "lncRNA (ENSOJAG00000016910.1)". The record is from RNAcentral. Lineage: Eukaryota; Metazoa; Chordata; Actinopteri; Beloniformes; Adrianichthyidae.